This 253-nucleotide ribosomal RNA is filed under the name uncultured bacterium. Its description in RNAcentral is "partial 16S ribosomal RNA". It matches the Rfam family "Bacterial small subunit ribosomal RNA", at positions 524 to 776 of the family's 1533-position model. The record is from RNAcentral.
UACGGAGGGUGCAAGCGUUAUCCGGAAUCACUGGGUUUAAAGGGUGCGUAGGCGGCCUGAUAAGUCAGAGGUGAAAUGCUAUCGCUUAACGAUAGAAUUGCCUUUGAUACUGUCGGGCUUGAAUCAGAAUGAGGUUAGCGGAAUGUGACAUGUAGCGGUGAAAUGCAUAGAUAUGUCAUGGAACACCGAUUGCGAAGGCAGCUAACUGGCACUUGAUUGACGCUGAGGCACGAAAGCGUGGGGAGCGAACAGG